Molecule: ribosomal RNA, 460 nt
Filed under: uncultured bacterium
Lineage: Bacteria
Description: partial 16S ribosomal RNA
Rfam family: Bacterial small subunit ribosomal RNA
Source: RNAcentral
CCUACGGAAGGCUGCAGUGAGGAAUAUUGGUCAAUGGACGAGAGUCUGAACCAGCCAAGUAGCGUGAAGGAUGACUGCCCUCUGGGUUGUAAACUUCUUUUAUAUGGGAAUAAAACAGGGUAUGCAUACCCUCUUGUAUGUACCAUAUGAAUAAGGAUCGGCUAACUCCGUGCCAGCAGCCGCGGUAAUACGGAGGAUCCGGGCGUUAUCCGGAUUUAUUGGGUUUAAAGGGAGCGUAGGUGGAUUGUUAAGUAAGUGGUGAAAGUUUGCGGCUCAACCGUAAAAUUGCAGUUGAAACUGGCAGUCUUGAGUACAGUAGAGGUGGGCGGAAUUCGUGGUGUAGCGGUGAAAGGCUUAGAUAUCACGAAGAACUCCGAUUGCGAAGGCAGCUCACUGGACUGCAACUGACACUGAUGCUCGAAAGUGUGGGUAUCAAACAGGAUUAGAUACCCGAGUAGUC